Molecule: long non-coding RNA, 645 nt
Organism: Perognathus longimembris pacificus (Pacific pocket mouse)
Lineage: Eukaryota; Metazoa; Chordata; Mammalia; Rodentia; Heteromyidae
Exons: 3
Source: RefSeq, a predicted model, not a curated record
AAAACAGGGCAGGGGGUAAAAUCCACAUAAUUAGAAUCGAGUUCUUUAGACAUUCACUCUGAGCAUUAUCUCUUCUUGGCUGAAAUAUCCUACUCAAUGACUUUUCUUUUCAAGAAACUGAAGCACAGUUUGAGAAAGACACUGGCCCCAGAAGACCCAGUGCAUAUAUAUUCUGCCGAUAUUCUUCAAGGCUGAAAAAUUAAAGCCACAAUUAUUAGACCUGACAUCCUUCUGAGAGACUGAGUAAGGAGAGACCACCAGCAGGAACGGAUGGAUCUUGAAAGCCUUCCCAACUCAGUCUUGACCAGUGCAUGAAGCUAUGAUUAAGUCACCUUGUUAUACCUCCCCAAGGGAUGAGAGACCUGCUCACAGAACUAUCCUGUCAUUGUCUGUCCUUCUCCCCAUCCUUCCUUUGGCUGCAACACUGAGGGCUGGCCUUUGAGGCAAAUGAAAUUUGCUUUUAGUGCCACUAACUCUCCUUAUUGCUCUCUCUCCUUUCAGCAAUGCUCACUACAAGGAAUCUGGCACUCUCCUACAAUUCUGAUGGUCCAAUCAGAGUUAUAUCCAAUGUGAACAAGUUGGUUUGUCAGUUCUUCAGCAAGGCAUUGAAGGAAUGAGGGGCCAGAGAGAGAGAGAGAGAGAGAG